Long non-coding RNA from Mytilus californianus (California mussel), 890 nucleotides. RefSeq lists it as uncharacterized. NCBI's taxonomy places the organism in Eukaryota, Metazoa, Mollusca, Bivalvia, Mytilida, Mytilidae. The transcript has 4 exons. The record is from RefSeq and is a predicted model, not a curated record.
CGAUUUAGAAUACAUGAAACAGAACUGCAUUUCGUUUUCAGCAAAAAUGAGAAUAAUUUUUAUCUAUAUUUUGUGUGUUAAAUUUAGGAUUUGCUUCCAAGAUACUGUAAACGGUGGACAUUUCCAACAAAACAAGAAAAUGAACUCUGUCAUUCUCUUCAAUCGCGACAAUAUUGGUCCCAAAAUGUGCAUUCGAGAAUGUUUACGGAUAAAGAAUUGCAACGGUAUAAACUUUCACAAGGAUUUUCUCAACUGCGAGCUGUUGUCUGUUUCGAACUCAGAAAGUCAGUUGAUCAGCAGGUCAGGGUUUAGUUACUCAAACAUUACAUACUGGACAAUGGAGGCUGAUAGUUGUUGGCCAAGUAAACCCUGCCCAGAGAAAACAAAGUGUAGGCCUUUACAGUCAAAUGGUCAUGUCUGCUUACAGUACGGUUUAUUGAACGAAAUAUUUCGAGAGAACAUAUCGUCACCGGGAUUUCCAGUUUCGUAUCAUAACCAAAUGAAUGAGACUUGGAAGUUUGAAGUUGGAAUUGGUAACAUUGUCGCCGUACGGUUCACAUAUUUUGAUUUAGAACGUUGCUGUGAUUAUGUAAAGGUUUACGAUGGUGUUGUCAGCGCAGAUACACUUUUGGAAAGUUUAAAUACAAAUGUUGUGCUACAGGAAGUUCGUUCGACCAAACAUUGCAUGGUAAUCAUUAUGACAACUGAUGGCUCAGUCAUAAAAGCAGGAUUCAGUGCUGACAUUUACGAAAUUAUUUCAUAGAUACAUUAAAUUCAAAUAUAUUUAGGUAAAGUAAGUGUAUCGGUCGGCGAAUCUACAGUUUGAUAAUUCUGUUCAUAUCUCAUUAUGUUUGGUAGUACGAUAUGGAUAAAAGGCUACCUUAAUAUUU